Malus domestica (apple) is the source of this 1045-nucleotide non-coding RNA. NCBI's taxonomy places the organism in Eukaryota, Viridiplantae, Streptophyta, Magnoliopsida, Rosales, Rosaceae. The record is from RefSeq and is a predicted model, not a curated record.
UUUUUUAAUUAUUAUGUUUUCUCUCUCUCUCCCGUAUAUGUUGUUGCUUAGCCUUUGUUUGUUUUAAUUUUUGGUUAGACUCUGCUUUUGGUACCUCUAGCUUCCACGUGUUGAUCAUCGUGGGGGGUUCUGUUCAGAGGCUGGUUGUUUUAUUUUUUGGCUGGAAGCAUCUUCCACUUUCCACUUUUCACUUUCCUCUUCUCUUCUGUCUUUUUCCUUUUCUUUUGCUCUCUCUGUAUCUCUCCGCCUGUCUUUCCGUUUAGAUUUCGAUCCGAUCGUCUAAAAAGGUAGUUCGUCUGUUUUUUUCUUCUCUUUUCCAGAAACCAAUCGCACCGUUUUAGGGAACAUUAGUCUUUGAAUUUUAGGGUUUUAUUGUACGAGCUUGCAAGCCAUUUUUGGGUGAGGAAACGUUGCAAGCCCUUUCUGAUUAAGGAAGCAGUGGCUACCUUUUUUUGCGCUUUCGUAUGUACGGUUCCAGGUGCCUCAGGUAUAUACAUUAUGCAACUGUUAAUAUCCAUAACCAAUGCAGGUUUUUAAGCACUCACACAGGUUUGUAUUUCAGUGAAAAAAAUCUAGGAAAAACAAAAGGAGGUUGAACCCAUCUACAUAGUGAAUCGAAAGAAAAAUUAAACUCAAGAGCUAGAGAAUGAAAACUGGUCUGAUGAAAAAAAAGAAAUGAACACAUAUAAGUGGCUUGAAUGGAAGAUGCAAUUCCAACACCUAUCAAUCAGUUACAACCGUAUAAAAAGGCAGUAAAAAUUCAAGUCCUGUGUACAAUGUGGAGAGCGAGAAUUCCAGAAACGAUUGAUAAAUAUAUAGGCCUGCGCUGUAUACUGGUUGAUGAAAAGGAUCAGUGUCGUUGUACACCUUUCCACAACUGUUUGUUCUGUCUUUCUCCCUCCGUGUAAUUUUAGUCAAAUUGAACUACUUUUUUUUUUAACUUGAGAUUUAACUGAAGUGCUAAGAACUUAGUUAAAUGAAAGUUUACUUUGGUUUGAUGACAUUUAGGUGUUCAAUGUUGAGUGCAUGAUUAUUAGGUCUACAA